Molecule: ribosomal RNA, 252 nt
Filed under: uncultured bacterium
Lineage: Bacteria
Description: partial 16S ribosomal RNA
Rfam family: Bacterial small subunit ribosomal RNA
Source: RNAcentral
ACGGAGGGUGCAAGCGUUAAUCGGAAUUACUGGGCGUAAAGCGCGCGUAGGCGGUUUGAUUAGUCAGAUGUGAAAUCCCCGAGCUCAACUUGGGAACUGCAUUUGAUACUGUCAGACUAGAGUAUGUUAGAGGAAUGCGGAAUUCCGGGUGUAGCGGUGAAAUGCGUAGAUAUCCGGAGGAACAUCAGUGGCGAAGGCGGCAUUCUGGGAUAAUACUGACGCUGAGGUGCGAAAGCGUGGGGAGCAAACAGG